RNAcentral lists this transfer RNA (87 nucleotides) under Coxiella endosymbiont of Amblyomma nuttalli. RNAcentral describes it as "tRNA-Ser". It matches the Rfam family "tRNA". Rfam says of the family: Transfer RNA (tRNA) molecules are approximately 80 nucleotides in length. The record is from RNAcentral. Lineage: Bacteria; Pseudomonadati; Pseudomonadota; Gammaproteobacteria; Legionellales; Coxiellaceae.
GGAGAGAUGGCAGAGCGGUUGAAUGCGACGGUCUUGAAAAUCGUUGAGGAGGUAACUCCUUCCAGGGUUCGAAUCCCUGUCUCUCCG